Molecule: unclassified non-coding RNA, 76 nt
Filed under: Legionella longbeachae NSW150
Lineage: Bacteria; Pseudomonadati; Pseudomonadota; Gammaproteobacteria; Legionellales; Legionellaceae
Source: RNAcentral
GGGAGCCUAUUGCCUUAAUAGGGCACGAUGGGUUCUGAGGAGGGGUUGCUGAGGUGACUCAGCAAUCUACUCAAAC